AUACAUCAAUUUUGUUUGACUUUUUAUGCUUAUUUUUAAAGCCGGGGUAAUACUAGUCUAUCAAAACCACCACCGCGUAAUGUGAAUUAUGUGAAGUUUUCUGAGCCAUUAUUGUAGUAGUUCGUAUAUCUAUAGCAAAAUCCUAUUUUUUAUUUUGUUAAGGGGGAAGCUGUUAGGCCGAAUUACAAGCGAGCAUGAUGAAGAAAAUAAAAUAAAAGAUUAACACAACCUGGGGAGGGUGGAGUAAAAAGCAUCAGCUAUGUGCUAUCACUACAAUAUGAAGGUUAAUAUCAGUUAUGUCUAAGCAGAUACCUAUCCCAGACUAAGAGCAACAAACUCCAAGAGUUAGGUUUGGUGGUAAAAUGUAAAAUGACAGGUCUUGGAUCCGGAGGUUUCAGAUUUGAGUCAGUUAUACCUUUGAAGAUUGGAAGUGCUCUUUAAGGGCAAAGGUCUUUCCUACCUUAUACUGGUGCAUCGUCCCCUCAUCCUAAAUUUAUUUCAGGCACAUUGAAUUAGCUGGUUGAAGAAUAAAUUAAUUUUAUGUUUGUAAAGGGCAGGACUGGAGUGCCCCUCACCCUAGACUUUUUUAUUAUGAAAAAAUAGUAGGACAUGCAUGCUAUUGAGGUCUAGCGCAAAUAAUUGGUACACAUGGUGUAUGAGUGUUGUAAAACUCGGAUAGCAAAUUUGAUUCUUACUGAUAAAAAAGUUUAGGACAUAAUUUGAAACUAAUCUUUCCCAUAAAAUUUAAAUGAAGUAAUGCCAUUGCUAUUUGACUAUAUGGAAAUAUGAUACUAUAAAAGGAUGGGAUGUCCUUCUAGUUCAGCAUUCAUUCUCCCCUUUGAAUACGAACAGAUUUUCACUAGUGCCUUGCAUGGUACUUUUAAGUUUCGUUGUGAUUUGUCAAGGAGGCAUCCUGGGGAAGAACUUCUACCAGCAUUCCUGCCCUCAGGCCAAUGACAUUAUUAUGGAAAAAACCCUACAGUAUGUCUCUGCUAAUCCCAACUUACCUGCUAAGGUGCUUAGAUUGCAUUUCCAUGACUAUUUUGUCAAGAUACACCUACCUUUGAGUUUUCAAUUGAGGCAUGUACCAUCUGAUUCGAAGACCUACAAGUCAUGUAAUUUGAUUUCAAAAACGUUAGUAUCAGCUAAAAGGAAAAUACAGAAUUGACACUGUUACAUCAGCAACUAAUACACAUCAACACCUGAGUAUCGAUGAGGCGCGGAGUGUAUCAAGAAAAUGGAGAAAUAAACUAAGAGAUGAAAGUUGUUUUCAGCCGCGACGCAUUCUGUUAGUCAUAGAAUAAUGUGUAUCUUUCUGUUGUAUCUCAUUUGAUUUAGUCAUAAGUCUGGUUCUGGUACAGAUUGUAUUAUAUGCACUUUGUUCAAUGAAAUUACUCACUUCUAUCAA
Long non-coding RNA from Medicago truncatula (barrel medic), 1408 nucleotides. RefSeq lists it as uncharacterized. Lineage: Eukaryota; Viridiplantae; Streptophyta; Magnoliopsida; Fabales; Fabaceae. The record is from RefSeq and is a predicted model, not a curated record. The transcript is spliced from 2 exons.